This is a long non-coding RNA of Rana temporaria (common frog), 587 nucleotides long. RefSeq lists it as uncharacterized. NCBI's taxonomy places the organism in Eukaryota, Metazoa, Chordata, Amphibia, Anura, Ranidae. The transcript is spliced from 3 exons. The record is from RefSeq and is a predicted model, not a curated record.
GCACGAGAUCCGGAUUGGAGUGAAAUAUCUGGCCACGGGUAUAUCCUGAACAUAACGGAUACAGACCACGUCCGGGGUAACCAGCUAAAGGGGUUGAAACCUAGACGGUGACCAGAGAGGGCAAUCGGCCCAUAAGAGCCCUUGAGACCCCCCACCGUACGGUGAGUUGUGGGUCCACACCAUCUGAAAUUCCACUUCAUCCUGCUUCUUCUGCUCUCAUUGUCACACCCCCUGGGGGUGAGUCAUCAUGCCAACUUGGUCUCACAGAACUUCUGGGCUCGAUCAAGGAGGAAGGAUCACCCACUGUGGAAGAAGAAGGACCUGUGACAUCACCAGAGUGGCCUGAAAAGCCUUAGAAAAAAGGAUGCCUUAGGACAAGGUGUAUGAGGAAAGCUCUGGUGGACCUCUCUUGCAUAACCUGCUGUAACACCAUAAACUCCUGAAGAAGCUCAUCUGAGAAAAACUGGUAGAGUGGUCUUGAUGCAGCCAUUUUAUGCGUAUGGCCUAUUGUCAUAUACCCAACAUGAAUGGUUUCUUACAAAUGCUUGUUGUUUGUUUUUUACUCUUUAAAUAAACAUGUUAAAAUU